Molecule: long non-coding RNA, 205 nt
Filed under: Mytilus galloprovincialis (Mediterranean mussel)
Lineage: Eukaryota; Metazoa; Mollusca; Bivalvia; Mytilida; Mytilidae
Source: RNAcentral
AUGAGGGAGGGUAGGAGGGGUCCUGAUCCCGAAAUCCCGAGCUUAAAAACACGAAAUCCCGAAAUCCCGGGCUUAAAAAACACGAAAUCCCGAGGUCCCGAAAUUCGAAAAAAGAAUUCUCGGAUCCCGAAAGGGUCAAUCCCGAAAUCCCGGGCUUAAAAACAACCAAUCCCGGAGUCCCGAUAAAGGUCCUAUCCCCCCUCUA